Molecule: ribosomal RNA, 518 nt
Filed under: uncultured bacterium
Lineage: Bacteria
Description: bacterial SSU rRNA
Rfam family: Bacterial small subunit ribosomal RNA
Source: RNAcentral
UACGAGUUUGAUCAUGGCUCAGGACGAACGCUGGCGGCGUGCCUAAUACAUGCAAGUCGAGCGGACCAAAGGGAGCUUGCUCCUGGAGGUUAGCGGCGAACGGGUGAGUAACACGUGGGCAACCUGCCUGUAAGACUGGGAUAACAUCGAGAAAUCGGUGCUAAUACCGGAUAAUAAAAAGAACUGCAUGGUUCUUUUUUGAAAGAUGGUUUCGGCUAUCACUUACAGAUGGGCCCGCGGCGCAUUAGCUAGUUGGUGAGGUAACGGCUCACCAAGGCGACGAUGCGUAGCCGACCUGAGAGGGUGAUCGGCCACACUGGGACUGAGACACGGCCCAGACUCCUACGGGAGGCAGCAGUAGGGAAUCUUCCGCAAUGGACGAAAGUCUGACGGAGCAACGCCGCGUGAGUGAUGAAGGUUUUCGGAUCGUAAAACUCUGUUGUUAGGGAAGAACAAGUGCCGUUCGAAAGGGCGGCACCUUGACGGUACCUAACGAGAAAGCCACGGCUAACUACGUG